This 85-nucleotide transfer RNA is filed under the name Pseudomonadota bacterium. RNAcentral describes it as "Proteobacteria bacterium tRNA-Leu". It matches the Rfam family "tRNA". Rfam says of the family: Transfer RNA (tRNA) molecules are approximately 80 nucleotides in length. Their secondary structure includes four short double-helical elements and three loops (D, anti-codon, and T loops). Further hydrogen bonds mediate the characteristic L-shaped molecular structure. tRNAs have two regions of fundamental functional importance: the anti-codon, which is responsible for specific mRNA codon recognition, and the 3' end, to which the tRNAs corresponding amino acid is attached (by aminoacyl-tRNA synthetases). tRNAs cope with the degeneracy of the genetic code in two manners: having more than one tRNA (with a specific anti-codon) for a particular amino acid; and 'wobble' base-pairing, i.e. permitting non-standard base-pairing at the 3rd anti-codon position. Lineage: Bacteria; Pseudomonadati; Pseudomonadota. The record is from RNAcentral.
GCCGACGUGGUGGAAUUGGUAGACACGCAAGCAUGAGGUGCUUGUGCCGUAUGGUGUGUAGGUUCGAGUCCUAUCGUCGGCACCA